This 507-nucleotide ribosomal RNA is filed under the name uncultured bacterium. RNAcentral's name for it is "partial 16S ribosomal RNA". It matches the Rfam family "Bacterial small subunit ribosomal RNA", at positions 28 to 507 of the family's 1533-position model. The record is from RNAcentral.
GACGAACGCUGGCGGCGUGCCUAAUACAUGCAAGUCGAACGCAUUUUCUUUCACCGUAGCUUGCUACACCGAAAGAAAAUGAGUGGCGAACGGGUGAGUAACACGUGGGUAACCUGCCCAUCAGCGGGGGAUAACACUUGGAAACAGGUGCUAAUACCGCAUAAUUCCAUUUACCGCAUGGUAGAUGGGUGAAAGGCGCUUUUGCGUCACUGAUGGAUGGACCCGCGGUGCAUUAGCUAGUGGGUGGGGUAACGGCCUACCAAGGCUGCGAUGCAUAGCCGACCUGAGAGGGUGAUCGGCCACACUGGGACUGGGACACGGCCCAGACUCCUACGGGAGGCAGCAGUAGGGAAUCUUCGGCAAUGGACGCAAGUCUGACCGAGCAACGCCGCGUGAGUGAAGAAGGUUUUCGGAUCGUAAAACUCUGUUGUUAGAGAAGAACAAGGAUGAGAGUGGAAAGUUCAUCCCUUGACGGUAUCUAACCAGAAAGCCACGGCUAACUACGUG